This 253-nucleotide ribosomal RNA is filed under the name uncultured bacterium. RNAcentral describes it as "partial 16S ribosomal RNA". It matches the Rfam family "Bacterial small subunit ribosomal RNA", at positions 524 to 776 of the family's 1533-position model. The record is from RNAcentral.
UACGUAGGGAGCAAGCGUUGUCCGGAAUUACUGGGCGUAAAGGGUGCGUAGGCGGCAAGGCAAGUCAGGUGUGAAAUCCCCGGGCUUAACUCGGGGGGUGCAUUUGAAACUGCUUUGCUUGAGUACAGGAGAGGAAAGCGGAAUUCCUAGUGUAGCGGUGAAAUGCGUAGAUAUUAGGAGGAACACCAGUGGCGAAGGCGGCUUUCUGGACUGUCACUGACGCUGAGGCACGAAAGCGUGGGGAGCAAACAGG